RNA transcript from Rosa rugosa (rugosa rose), 1141 nucleotides. It is a transcript of the gene named universal stress protein PHOS32, with no coding region annotated. The record is from RefSeq and is a predicted model, not a curated record. Lineage: Eukaryota; Viridiplantae; Streptophyta; Magnoliopsida; Rosales; Rosaceae. The transcript is spliced from 3 exons.
AAACUCUCAUCAAAUUUCCUAAAGAAGCUCGAACAUUCCACCUGCACAGUGAUCCUGUGUGACAUUGACAUUCUUCUGUUAUUAUCACUACUCAAGUCUCACCCAAAAGCCAAAACCUUUGCUUCCCUCUCUCUCUCUCUCUCAAUCAAACCCAUGGCUUCUCCGAAGAAGAGCCCAUCAUCUUCAGAACCAGAGCGUCAGCACUCCGGCUCGGCGAUCGUAGUCCAACCCUCCUCCCCUCGCUUCCCUCCCACCGGCACCCCCACCUCUGGCGCCCAGCGCCGCAUCGGGAUCGCCGUCGAUCUCAGCGACGAGAGCGCCUUCGCCGUCAAGUGGGCCGUCCAAAACUACCUCCGCCCCGGUGACGCCGUCGUCCUCCUCCACGUCCGCCCCACCAGCGUCCUCUACGGCGCCGACUGGGGCGCCACCGACGUCUCCGUCCCCUACGACGAGGCCUCCCAGCAGAAACUCGAGUCCGAUUUCGACAACUUCACCCUCACCAAAGCCACCGACCUCUCCAAGCCUCUCGAGGAGGCUCGGAUCCCCUACAAGAUCCACAUAGUGAAGGACCACGAUAUGAAGGAGCGUCUCUGCUUGGAGGUCGAGCGGCUCGGCCUGGUCGCCGUCAUUAUGGGCAGCCGGGGGUUCGGAGCCACCAAGCGGAGCUCCAACGCCAGGCUCGGUAGUGUUAGUGACUACUGUGUUCACCACUGCGUCUGUCCGGUCAUCGUCGUUAGGUUUUCCGAUGACAAGGACGGAGAUGGAGACGGAGACCACGUCGUAAAGCCGGCGAGGUUUGACUCUGUUCACGAGGAAGAGCCGGAGUUCCAUGACGCUUUGGAUAAAGAACCUCUUUUAUGAUAUGUUUGUUCUGCUGCAAGAACACUGCACAAGGGAUGUAUACUUCAUGAUGAUAUUAGAUACGGAUAAGGUGCGUUGAAAAGAUAGAGAUGGUGAAGUGCAUUCAGAUAUUUAUCAAGUACUCCUGGUUCGUGUGUAAUCAUGUUGUCAUGUUGUAUGGAAGAGUUUGGCAGGGACUGAGUCUACUGAUCUUUGUUUAAACCCACCUUUUCACGGCGUUGCCAUAUGUUUAUGAAGCUCGGGGAUGUUGAUGAAUAAUGGAUGGUGAUUUCAAUUUCAA